Molecule: ribosomal RNA, 755 nt
Filed under: Pantoea stewartii subsp. indologenes
Lineage: Bacteria; Pseudomonadati; Pseudomonadota; Gammaproteobacteria; Enterobacterales; Erwiniaceae
Description: bacterial SSU rRNA
Rfam family: Bacterial small subunit ribosomal RNA
Source: RNAcentral
GAUGGAGGGGGAUAACUACUGGAAACGGUAGCUAAUACCGCAUAACGUCGCAAGACCAAAGUGGGGGACCUUCGGGCCUCACACCAUCGGAUGUGCCCAGAUGGGAUUAGCUUGUAGGCGGGGUAACGGCCCACCUAGGCGACGAUCCCUAGCUGGUCUGAGAGGAUGACCAGCCACACUGGAACUGAGACACGGUCCAGACUCCUACGGGAGGCAGCAGUGGGGAAUAUUGCACAAUGGGCGCAAGCCUGAUGCAGCCAUGCCGCGUGUAUGAAGAAGGCCUUCGGGUUGUAAAGUACUUUCAGCGGGGAGGAAGGUGUUGAGGUUAAUAACCUCAGCAAUUGACGUUACCCGCAGAAGAAGCACCGGCUAACUCCGUGCCAGCAGCCGCGGUAAUACGGAGGGUGCAAGCGUUAAUCGGAAUUACUGGGCGUAAAGCGCACGCAGGCGGUCUGUUAAGUCAGAUGUGAAAUCCCCGGGCUUAACCUGGGAACUGCAUUUGAAACUGGCAGGCUUGAGUCUCGUAGAGGGGGGUAGAAUUCCAGGUGUAGCGGUGAAAUGCGUAGAGAUCUGGAGGAAUACCGGUGGCGAAGGCGGCCCCCUGGACGAAGACUGACGCUCAGGUGCGAAAGCGUGUGGGAGCAAACAGGGAUUAGAUACCCUGGUAGUCCACGCCGUAACGAUGUCGACUUGGAGGUUGUUCCCUUGAGGAGUGGCUUCCGGAGCUAACGCGUUUAAGUCGACCGCCUGGGGAG